This 576-nucleotide unclassified non-coding RNA is filed under the name Beckmannia eruciformis. Its description in RNAcentral is "sequence contains ITS1, 5.8S rRNA gene and ITS2". The stretch from base 204 to 359 matches the Rfam family "5.8S ribosomal RNA". The record is from RNAcentral. Lineage: Eukaryota; Viridiplantae; Streptophyta; Magnoliopsida; Poales; Poaceae.
CCGUGCACGCGUCAUCUAUCCUGCCGGCGGCGGCACCGUUCGUCGUUUGGCCAAAGUCCUCGAUGACCUCCUCUCCUCGGAGAGGGGGCUCGGGGUAAAAGAACCCACGGCGCCGAAGGCGUCAAGGAACACUAUAUGCCUAACAUGGGGACGCGGCUGGCUUGCUAGCCGUCCCCCGUGUUGCAAUGCUAUUUAAUCCACACGACUCUCGGCAACGGAUAUCUCGGCUCUCGCAUCGAUGAAGAACGUAGCGAAAUGCGAUACCUGGUGUGAAUUGCAGAAUCCCGCGAACCAUCGAGUCUUUGAACGCAAGUUGCGCCCGAGGCCACCUGGCUGAGGGCACGCCUGCCUGGGCGUCACGCCAAAUACGCUCCAACACCCUCAUCGGGUAGUGGGAUGCGGCUUGUGGCCCCUCGUCACGCAAGAGGCGGUGGGCCGAAGAUGCGGCUGCCGGCGUAUCGUGCCGGACACAGCGCGUGGUGGGCGACCUCGCUUUACUUACCGCAGUGCAUCCGACGCGUAGCCGACGUGAUGGCCUUGAUGGACCCUAUAAACGGAGCGCAUGACGCUUCGACC